RNAcentral lists this ribosomal RNA (437 nucleotides) under uncultured eukaryote. RNAcentral's name for it is "bacterial SSU rRNA". It matches the Rfam family "Eukaryotic small subunit ribosomal RNA", at positions 592 to 1018 of the family's 1831-position model. The record is from RNAcentral.
CAAUAGCGUAUAUUAAAGUUGUUGCGGUUAAAAAGCUCGUAGUUGGAUUUCUGUUGAGGUCAGCCGGUGUGCACUUCGUGCAUUAUUUGGUUUGGUCUCGGCAUCCUCCUGGGGAGCGUUUCUGGCCUUUGUUGGACAGGACGAGAUUCAGGACUUUUACUUUGAGGAAAUUAGAGUGUUCACGGCAGGCAAGUGCUUUGAAUACAUUAGCAUGGAAUAAUAAUAUAGGACCUUCGUUCUAUUUUGUUGGUUUCUUAGAGCUUAGGUAAUGAUUAAUAGGGACGAAUUAGGGGGUCGAUUCGUAUUAACGUACGUCAGAGGUGGAAGUUACUUGGUAUUGCGUUACGUACGAACUAACUGCGAAAGACAUUUGUCCAAAGAAUGUUUUCUAUUGAUCAAGAACGAAAGUAUGGGGAUCGAAGACGAUCAGAUACCAU